This 253-nucleotide ribosomal RNA is filed under the name uncultured bacterium. Its description in RNAcentral is "partial 16S ribosomal RNA". It matches the Rfam family "Bacterial small subunit ribosomal RNA", at positions 524 to 776 of the family's 1533-position model. The record is from RNAcentral.
UACGUAGGGGGCAAGCGUUGUCCGGAUUUAUUGGGCGUAAAGCGCUCGCAGGUGGUUCAUUGCGUCGUGCGUGAAAGACCCCGGCUCAACUGGGGAGGGUCGUGCGAAACGGGUGAACUAGAGGCCAGUAGGGGGAUGCGGAAUUCCGGGUGUAGUGGUGGAAUGCGUAGAGAUCCGGAGGAACACCAGCGGCGAAGGCGGCAUCCUGGACUGGUCCUGACACUUAGGAGCGAAAGCGUGGGGAGCGAUCCGG